UAAGUUAUAUAUUUUUUUCUUUGCGCUUCUUGCACUGGUGGAGAGGGUGGAUGCCUCUAACGUAG
This 65-nucleotide transfer RNA is filed under the name Hebesoma violentum. RNAcentral describes it as "tRNA-Ser". The record is from RNAcentral. Lineage: Eukaryota; Metazoa; Acanthocephala; Eoacanthocephala; Neoechinorhynchida; Neoechinorhynchidae.